This 61-nucleotide transfer RNA is filed under the name Mactra alta. RNAcentral's name for it is "tRNA-Phe". Lineage: Eukaryota; Metazoa; Mollusca; Bivalvia; Venerida; Mactridae. The record is from RNAcentral.
GUUCUAAUAGUUUAAAAAGAACGUACCCUUGAAGGUGGUGAGGUAAAUUUUUUUUAGGACA